GAUGAACGCUGGCGGCGUGCCUAAUACAUGCAAGUCGAGCGAACAGAUGAGGAGCUUGCUCCUCUGACGUUAGCGGCGGACGGGUGAGUAACACGUGGAUAACCUACCUAUAAGACUGGGAUAACUACGGGAAACCGGAGCUAAUACCGGAUAAUAUAUUGAACCGCAUGGUUCAAUAGUGAAAGACGGUUUUGCUGUCACUUAUAGAUGGAUCCGCGCCGCAUUAGCUAGUUGGUAAGGUAACGGCUUACCGAGGCAACGAUGCGUAGCCGACCUGAGAGGGUGAUCGGCCACACUGGAACUGAGACACGGUCCAGACUCCUACGGGAGGCAGCAGUAGGGAAUCUUCCGCAAUGGGCGAAAGCCUGACGGAGCAACGCCGCGUGAGUGAUGAAGGUCUUCGGAUCGUAAAACUCUGUUAUUAGGGAAGAACAAAUGUGUAAGUAACUAUGCACGUCUUGACGGUACCUAAUCAGAAAGCCACGGCUAACUACGUG
Molecule: ribosomal RNA, 497 nt
Filed under: uncultured bacterium
Lineage: Bacteria
Description: partial 16S ribosomal RNA
Rfam family: Bacterial small subunit ribosomal RNA
Source: RNAcentral